AACGAACGCUGGCGGCAUGCCUAACACAUGCAAGUCGAACGAGACCUUCGGGUCUAGUGGCGCACGGGUGCGUAACGCGUGGGAACCUGCCCUUAGGUUCGGAAUAACUCCCCGAAAGGGGUGCUAAUACCGGAUAAUGUCUUCGGACCAAAGAUUUAUCGACUUUGGAUGGGCCCGCGUUGGAUUAGCUAGUUGGUAGGGUAAAAGCCUACCAAGGCGACGAUCCAUAGCUGGUCUGAGAGGAUGAUCAGCCACACUGGGACUGAGACACGGCCCAGAAUCCUACGGGAGGCAGCAGUGGGGAAUAUUGGACAAUGGGCGAAAGCCUGAUCCAGCAAUGCCGCGUGAGUGAUGAAGGCCUUAGGGUUGUAAAGCUCUUUUACCCGGGAUGAUAAUGACAGUACCGGGAGAAUAAGCUCCGGCUAACUCCGUG
This 433-nucleotide ribosomal RNA is filed under the name uncultured bacterium. Its description in RNAcentral is "partial 16S ribosomal RNA". It matches the Rfam family "Bacterial small subunit ribosomal RNA", at positions 29 to 507 of the family's 1533-position model. The record is from RNAcentral.